RNAcentral lists this long non-coding RNA (842 nucleotides) under Callithrix jacchus (white-tufted-ear marmoset). RNAcentral's name for it is "lncRNA (ENSCJAG00000074964.1)". The record is from RNAcentral. Lineage: Eukaryota; Metazoa; Chordata; Mammalia; Primates; Cebidae.
AUGAAAAUCAUUCUUGAAAUGGCAAAGAUUUCUGCGGCUAGAUCAUGGGAUUUAUUGAGUGGAGCAAUUUCUCCUCAGGGGACCAGACACAUAGGACUCUACAGUUUGAUAGUCAGAUAUGGAGCAACCAUGAAAAUAUUUUCUAACACUCAGAGUUUGCUGAUAUUUGAAAAACAAGGAACAUAAACACACACAAUCUGCUUUCAAGGUGAAAUUAUGGGUGGAUUGGAGUAGGAUUAAUGUUACCAACACAGAAAACUGACUCUCAUUUAGAGCCUUUGGCAUUGAGCUGAUCCAUAAAGAUAUCACCAGCAUCAACAUCAUCAUCAUUAUCAUCAAGAGGCCUGCGAGGCCUACUUUAUCCAUUACAUUUAUUAUAUCCACGGAACACGUGUUAUUAUCACCGAAGUGGCACCAGGGACUUAGAGAGCUUAUCUCAAUUUAUGUCUGCAUUUACUGAAUAGCAAAUGGAUUAAGAAUUUUAGAAGCUGCAAAUAGGCUGGCAAAUGCAGAUGGGCUGGGACUAUAAGAAAAUGUAAUAAACUUCUAAUAAAACAUUUGAGCAAACACACAUCUGUGGACAGAUGGGAGGCAUUAUGUAAUACAAGUCAUUGCUACAGAAAGCCCUAAACGAUCCCCUCACCUCUCCACCCCCGCCAACCCACCCCUACCCCCCGCCCCGCCCCGAUCCUGCUGUUGGGCCAAGGUUAAGGGUAAAAGGCCUCUGUAAGUUUUCCUUCUCUGUCAGCAUCCAGAGAAAGUAUUUUUAAUCUUUCUAAGAUGAACUGUUAAAAUAGACAGCCUUUGACCCACACCCACGAAAACACAAAAAAACCACAAAA